UACGUAGGAUCCAAGCGUUGUCCGGAAUUACUGGGUGUAAAGGGUGCGCAGGCGGGCUUGUGCGUCAGAGGUUAAAUACCCCGGCUUAACCGGGGAAAUGCCUUUGAUACGGCAAGCCUUGAGUGCGAGAGAGGAUGGUAGAAUUCCUGGUGUAGCGGUGAAAUGCGUAGAUAUCAGGAGGAAUACCAGUGGCGAAGGCGGCCAUCUGGCUCGCAACUGACGCUCAUGCACGAAAGCGUGGGGAG
RNAcentral lists this ribosomal RNA (245 nucleotides) under uncultured bacterium. RNAcentral describes it as "partial 16S ribosomal RNA". It matches the Rfam family "Bacterial small subunit ribosomal RNA", at positions 524 to 768 of the family's 1533-position model. The record is from RNAcentral.